UGGGGAAUAUUGGACAAUGGGCGAAAGCCUAAUCCAGCAAUGCCGCGUGUGUGAAGAAGGUCUUCGGAUUGUAAAGCACUUUCGACGGGGACGAUGAUGACGGUACCCGUAGAAGAAGCCCCGGCUAACUUCGUGCCGG
RNAcentral lists this ribosomal RNA (139 nucleotides) under uncultured bacterium. RNAcentral's name for it is "partial 16S ribosomal RNA". It matches the Rfam family "Bacterial small subunit ribosomal RNA", at positions 355 to 511 of the family's 1533-position model. The record is from RNAcentral.